GUGGCGAACGGGUGAGUAACACGUGGGCAAUCUGCCCUGCACUCUGGGACAAGCCCUGGAAACGGGGUCUAAUACCGGAUACUGAUCCUCGCAGGCAUCUGUGAGGUUCGAAAGCUCCGGCGGUGCAGGAUGAGCCCGCGGCCUAUCAGCUAGUUGGUGAGGUAAUGGCUCACCAAGGCGACGACGGGUAGCCGGCCUGAGAGGGCGACCGGCCACACUGGGACUGAGACACGGCCCAGACUCCUACGGGAGGCAGCAGUGGGGAAUAUUGCACAAUGGGCGAAAGCCUGAUGCAGCGACGCCGCGUGAGGGAUGACGGCCUUCGGGUUGUAAACCUCUUUCAGCAGGGAAGAAGCGAAAGUGACGGUACCUGCAGAAGAAGCGCCGGCUAACUACGUGCCAGCAGCCGCGGUAAUACGUAGGGCGCAAGCGUUGUCCGGAAUUAUUGGGCGUAAAGAGCUCGUAGGCGGCUUGUCACGUCGGUUGUGAAAGCCCGGGGCUUAACCCCGGGUCUGCAGUCGAUACGGGCAGGCUAGAGUUCGGUAGGGGAGAUCGGAAUUCCUGGUGUAGCGGUGAAAUGCGCAGAUAUCAGGAGGAACACCGGUGGCGAAGGCGGAUCUCUGGGCCGAUACUGACGCUGAGGAGCGAAAGCGUGGGGAGCGAACAGGAUUAGAUACCCUGGUAGUCCACGCCGUAAACGGUGGGCACUAGGUGUGGGCAACAUUCCACGUUGUCCGUGCCGCAGCUAACGCAUUAAGUGCCCGCUGGGGAGUACGGCGCAAGGCUAAACUCAAAGGAUUGACGGGGGCCCGCACAAGCGGCGGAGCAUGUGGCUUAAUUCGACGCAACGCGAAGAACCUUACCAAGGCUUGACAUACACCGGAAAACCCUGGAGACAGGGUCCCCCUUGUGGUCGGUGUACAGGUGGUGCAUGGCUGUCGUCAGCUCGUGUCGUGAGAUGUUGGGUUAAGUCCCGCAACGAGCGCAACCCUUGUCCCGUGUUGCCAGCAGGCCCUUGUGGUGCUGGGGACUCACGGGAGACCGCCGGGGUCAACUCGGAGGAAGGUGGGGACGACGUCAAGUCAUCAUGCCCCUUAUGUCUUGGGCUGCACACGUGCUACAAUGGCCGGUACAAUGAGCUGCGAUACCGCGAGGUGGAGCGAAUCUCAAAAAGCCGGUCUCAGUUCGGAUUGGGGUCUGCAACUCGACCCCAUGAAGUCGGAGUCGCUAGUAAUCGCAGAUCAGCAUUGCUGCGGUGAAUACGUUCCCGGGCCUUGUACACACCGCCCGUCACGUCACGAAAGUCGGUAACACCCGAAGCCGGUGGCCCAACCCCCGUGGGAGG
RNAcentral lists this ribosomal RNA (1345 nucleotides) under Streptomyces sp. C5(2008). RNAcentral's name for it is "16S ribosomal RNA". It matches the Rfam family "Bacterial small subunit ribosomal RNA", at positions 95 to 1449 of the family's 1533-position model. The record is from RNAcentral. Lineage: Bacteria; Bacillati; Actinomycetota; Actinomycetes; Kitasatosporales; Streptomycetaceae.